GUGGGUAACCUGCCUUGUACUGGGGGACAACAGUUGGAAACGACUGCUAAUACCGCAUAAGCGCACAGCUUCGCAUGAAGCAGUGUGAAAAACUCCGGUGGUACAAGAUGGACCCGCGUCUGAUUAGCUGGUUGGUGAGGUAACGGCCCACCAAGGCAACGAUCAGUAGCCGGCCUGAGAGGGUGAACGGCCACAUUGGGACUGAGACACGGCCCAAACUCCUACGGGAGGCAGCAGUGGGGAAUAUUGCACAAUGGGGGAAACCCUGAUGCAGCAACGCCGCGUGAGUGAAGAAGUAUUUCGGUAUGUAAAGCUCUAUCAGCAGGAAAGAAAAUGACGGUACCUGACUAAGAAGCCCCGGCUAACUACGUGCCAGCAGCCGCGGUAAUACGUAGGGGGCAAGCGUUAUCCGGAUUUACUGGGUGUAAAGGGAGCGUAGACGGUUUUGCAAGUCUGAAGUGAAAGCCCGGGGCUUAACCCCGGGACUGCUUUGGAAACUGUAGAACUAGAGUGCAGGAGAGGUAAGUGGAAUUCCUAGUGUAGCGGUGAAAUGCGUAGAUAUUAGGAGGAACACCAGUGGCGAAGGCGGCUUACUGGACUGUAACUGACGUUGAGGCUCGAAAGCGUGGGGAGCAAACAGGAUUAGAUACCCUGGUAGUCCACGCCGUAAACGAUGAUUACUAGGUGUUGGUGGGUAUGACCCAUCGGUGCCGCAGCAAACGCAAUAAGUAAUCCACCUGGGGAGUACGUUCGCAAGAAUGAAACUCAA
Molecule: ribosomal RNA, 769 nt
Filed under: uncultured bacterium
Lineage: Bacteria
Description: bacterial SSU rRNA
Rfam family: Bacterial small subunit ribosomal RNA
Source: RNAcentral